AGAACUCAUAAACUGACCAGUUUAAAUUUUCUUACAUAAUACUGGUUGAGUUUUGUUAGACCAUGAGUCCAUAUCAAGAAAAGAAAUUAAACAAUUGACCUUGGUCAAAAGUUUAAGUAUGCUUGGGACCUUAAAGAAUUUGGUCGAUUUGUGGUUUUAACGAUUAUGAUUGAUAAAUAGAGCCUUGGAUUUUGUUUAUUUGAUUAUACGUUAAAAUCAGCAUGCUGGGGUACUUUUAGGGUGCAAUAAAGCGAUGUCUCCUCACAUCUUGGUUGUGAGCAAGACAUGUUCACAGAUAUGCAUUCUUAUAAUUCCUGCGGUAUGAAAAGAAAAUAAAGACAUAUUGUAUGGCAUCUUUGGGAUCAAAUAUAAUAUGUAAACUAAAGAAAAAUGGGGUUUGAACAAUUAUACUUGUUUUAUUGUUCUUGAUUUAAGCAUGUUUUAUAUAUAUUUUCUCAUGUUGUUUUACAUGUUUAAAUUCAGUUCCUAGCAAUGUUCUCUCUGUUGAACCAUUAAGUGGUUCAAAUUUUAAGAAGUGGAAGGAGGACAUAAUUAUUUCGCUAGGACUAGCAGAUUUGGGUAUAGCACUUAGGACUACUAAACCGGAGAGCGCACAUGCCACCGGGACAAACCAACAACGAGCUGCAUAUGAAAAGUGGGAGAGGUCUAACCGGUUAUCUCUACUGGUUAUGAAAAGAUCCAUGACAGAGGCCAUACGUGGUAGCAUUGAGGAUUGUGAGUAUGCUGUUGACUAUCUUGAUGCUAUUGGUAAGAAAUAUAAGGAGUCUGAGAAGGCUGAAGGGGUUGCUUUGCUAUCUAAGUUUAAUUCAUCAUAGUAUGAUGGCAAUGGAAAUAUCAGAGAGUACAUCAUGGGCGUUUUAGAGCUAGGUGCCAAGCUUAAUUCUCUAGAUUUUGGCAUCUCUAAGAAGGUGAUGGUGGCCCACAUCCUAAAUACACUACCACCCUCUUUUAGUCAAAUGAUUGUUUCCUACAACACCCAAAAAGAAAGCUGGACACCUGAUGAGCUUAUUUCAAAUUGUGUUCAAGAGGAGGAACGUCUUCGUCGGGAGAAGGGAAAAUCUGUUAAUUUUAUGCAAAAAGGAAACAAGGGCAGCUGCAAAAGGGAAAAAAGAAGCAGCCAUAUCUUGGGCCUCAAGGGGGUGUGCAAAAGAAAAUGCCUACUACUUCUUCGAAGCCUAGUUCUUCCAAUUCUAAAGGAUCUUCCAACCCAAAAUCUGAACCUUUUCUCUGCUACUUCUGUAAGAAAGAUGGACACAUGAAGCGAGAUUGCUCUCGCUACAAAAAAUGGCUUGCAAAACAAGGGUUACAGAACAAAGAGGAAACCAAGAAGGGAUGAGCUGCAAGUGUUCGUGGGCAAUGGAAACAAAGUUCAAGUGGAUUUCAUAGGCACUGUUAGGAUAAAAUUAGAGUCAGGAUUUUCUUUUGAUUUAAAGGAUGUUGCUUUUAUUCCCUCUAUGAGGAGAAAUUUAAUUUCAGUUGUCAAACUUCGUAGAGAUUCUGGUUUUACUUUUGUCAUUGAUGAUGAAAUAAAAUUUUAUAAAGACAAUCAUUUAUUGGGAA
Molecule: long non-coding RNA, 1581 nt
Organism: Rosa chinensis
Lineage: Eukaryota; Viridiplantae; Streptophyta; Magnoliopsida; Rosales; Rosaceae
Exons: 2
Source: RefSeq, a predicted model, not a curated record